GGGGCUGUAAAGGUUUCGACGUGUUGGCGAAAGCUGCACUGUGAUACAGGUCGAGAGGGAGUCUACUCUCGUUAAUAUCGGCUCAACUAAAUACAAAUGCAAACAACAUUGUACCUUUCGCUCGUAAAGCCGCUCCUGUAGCUGCCUAAAAACACUUAAGAUUAAUUUCUAAGUCCGAGCAUUUAUAGUAUGACUCCGUUAAAUACUAUAAAUAACCCUCAACGGAUGCUCUAUUUAAUCGUCUCUGGUAGAUUAGAUAGCUAAGAUUCAUCAGAGCAUCCUGCGACCUGGGAUAAUAGGUCACUCCCGUCUAGAGGAUUAGAUAGACUAUACCUGUGAACGAGCGGAAAGUUAAUACCCAGGGCGGACGGCAGUUCGACUCUGCCCAGCUCCACUU
This is a non-coding RNA of Chamaesiphon minutus PCC 6605, 397 nucleotides long. It matches the Rfam family "transfer-messenger RNA". From Rfam's summary of the family: Bacterial tmRNA, also known as 10Sa RNA or SsrA, is named for its dual tRNA and mRNA-like properties. Its role is to liberate the mRNA from a stalled ribosome. To accomplish this part of the tmRNA is used as a reading frame that ends in a translation stop signal. NCBI's taxonomy places the organism in Bacteria, Bacillati, Cyanobacteriota, Cyanophyceae, Gomontiellales, Chamaesiphonaceae. The record is from Rfam.